GACUUGGGGGCUCAGUUGGUAGAGCGGUGGGAUGGAAUCCCUAAAUUGCGAGUUUAAUCCUCACCUGAGAUCA
Non-coding RNA from Gymnothorax javanicus (giant moray), 73 nucleotides. The record is from the annotation of a GenBank genome assembly. NCBI's taxonomy places the organism in Eukaryota, Metazoa, Chordata, Actinopteri, Anguilliformes, Muraenidae.